Molecule: ribosomal RNA, 253 nt
Filed under: uncultured bacterium
Lineage: Bacteria
Description: partial 16S ribosomal RNA
Rfam family: Bacterial small subunit ribosomal RNA
Source: RNAcentral
UACGUAGGGGGCAAGCGUUGUCCGGAAUCAUUGGGCGUAAAGCGCGUGUAGGCGGCUCGAUAAGUCUGCUGUGAAAGUCCAGGGCUCAACCCUGGGAUGCCGGUGGAUACUGUCGAGCUCGAGUCCGGAAGAGGCAAGUGGAAUUCCUGGUGUAGCGGUGAAAUGCGCAGAUAUCAGGAGGAACACCAAUGGCGAAGGCAGCUCGCUGGGACGGUACUGACGCUGAGACGCGAAAGCGUGGGGAGCAAACAGG